GAGCGCAACCCUUGUCAUUAGUUGCUACAUUCAGUUGGGCACUCUAAUGAGACUGCCGGUGACAAGCCGGAGGAAGGUGGGGAUGACGUCAAGUCCUCAUGGCCCUUAUAGGUGGGGCUACACACGUCAUACAAUGGCUGGUACAAAGGGUUGCCAACCCGCAGGGGGAGCUAAUCCCAUAAAGCCAGUCGUAGUCCGGAUCGUAGUCUGCAACUCGACUACGUGAAGUCGGAAUCGCUAGUAAUCGUGGAUCAGAAUGUCACGGUGAAUACGUUCCCGGGUCUU
This 285-nucleotide ribosomal RNA is filed under the name uncultured Rhodoferax sp. RNAcentral describes it as "partial 16S ribosomal RNA". It matches the Rfam family "Bacterial small subunit ribosomal RNA", at positions 1094 to 1382 of the family's 1533-position model. The record is from RNAcentral. Lineage: Bacteria; Pseudomonadati; Pseudomonadota; Betaproteobacteria; Burkholderiales; Comamonadaceae.